RNAcentral lists this ribosomal RNA (867 nucleotides) under Triticum aestivum (bread wheat). RNAcentral describes it as "partial small subunit ribosomal RNA". The record is from RNAcentral. Lineage: Eukaryota; Viridiplantae; Streptophyta; Magnoliopsida; Poales; Poaceae.
AUGGCCGCUUCGGUAGCGGACCACCUCAUGAUAUAUGGGCAGAGCUUCGCCGAGACCUUCCUCGUCCCUCCCGGCGUCGACGAGGAGGAAGCUGCUACGGCUACGGAGGAGACGUCAUUCAGGGUGAUCUGGGUGGUGCUGCUCCAAGCUAAGCAGAUGGCCCUUGUCUUCUCUUCCCGCACAGGGCAAUGGCGAGCCCUGACUCGGAGCGAGUCGUUACCUCUACCGGAUUUCACAUGGAUGGCUUGCUUCAGGUCACGCCAUUACGCCCAUGGCUGCUUCUACUGGAUUUCAGGUGAAAAAUUGCUGGUGCUUGACAUUCAGAGGAUGGAGUUCUCCAUGGCUGACCACCCACCCUGUGCCAGAGCUCCGAGCGAUGAUGUGGCCAUUGCGGAGGCAGGCCAAGGCACGAUUCGGAUGUUUGUGCCUACACCCAACACAGCUCGCCGUAGUUUUACGGUUUGGCGAAACAAUGGUGGGAUUUCCACCCAGUGGCAGUGGCAGAUGGAGAAUGAAACAAUCUUGCUGCCUUCUGGGUCCUUGCUCACGGGUGCAGUGGGGAGGCACUUGCUCCUAUAUCAUGUGGGAAGCUCGUCAAUCAGGCGAGGUUGUUACACGCGCGGCGUCGACACAUUCCAGUUUGAGAGGCCACACCCCACGCUGACGUCCGAGGAGAGGGGGGAGCUGUGCAGGUGCCUGAACCACAAGAAGUCGACGCUGGAGGCAUGGAAGGGUCCGUCCUCUCAGUGGCUGCCGAAGCUCCAAACCCCAAUGACGAAGCAGAGGCGGGUUGUGGUGGGCGAGGAGGAGGCGCUGGGGCUGGUGCAGGGGCUGAACCUCCGGAGGGUGCAGGGGCGGGUGGCGUAG